UUCCGUUUCGUCUAACCGGCAGGACAACAGUCUCUGACACUGUAGAUGUAAGUUCGACUCUUACAGCGGAAA
This 72-nucleotide transfer RNA is filed under the name Hominimerdicola alba. RNAcentral describes it as "Ruminococcus albus tRNA_Gln_CTG". It matches the Rfam family "tRNA". Rfam says of the family: Transfer RNA (tRNA) molecules are approximately 80 nucleotides in length. Their secondary structure includes four short double-helical elements and three loops (D, anti-codon, and T loops). Further hydrogen bonds mediate the characteristic L-shaped molecular structure. tRNAs have two regions of fundamental functional importance: the anti-codon, which is responsible for specific mRNA codon recognition, and the 3' end, to which the tRNAs corresponding amino acid is attached (by aminoacyl-tRNA synthetases). tRNAs cope with the degeneracy of the genetic code in two manners: having more than one tRNA (with a specific anti-codon) for a particular amino acid; and 'wobble' base-pairing, i.e. permitting non-standard base-pairing at the 3rd anti-codon position. Lineage: Bacteria; Bacillati; Bacillota; Clostridia; Eubacteriales; Oscillospiraceae. The record is from RNAcentral.